RNAcentral lists this ribosomal RNA (721 nucleotides) under uncultured Staphylococcus sp. Its description in RNAcentral is "bacterial SSU rRNA". It matches the Rfam family "Bacterial small subunit ribosomal RNA", at positions 60 to 763 of the family's 1533-position model. The record is from RNAcentral. Lineage: Bacteria; Bacillati; Bacillota; Bacilli; Caryophanales; Staphylococcaceae.
AGUCGAGCGAACGGACGAGAAGCUUGCUUCUCUGAUGUUAGCGGCGGACGGGUGAGUAACACGUGGAUAACCUACCUAUAAGACUGGGAUAACUUCGGGAAACCGGAGCUAAUACCGGAUAAUAUUUUGAACCGCAUGAUUCAAAAGUGAAAGACGGUCUUGCUGUCACUUAUAGAUGGAUCCGCGCUGCAUUAGCUAGUUGGUAAGGUAACGGCUUACCAAGGCAACGAUGCAUAGCCGACCUGAGAGGGUGAUCGGCCACACUGGAACUGAGACACGGUCCAGACUCCUACGGGAGGCAGCAGUAGGGAAUCUUCCGCAAUGGGCGAAAGCCUGACGGAGCAACGCCGCGUGAGUGAUGAAGGUCUUCGGAUCGUAAAACUCUGUUAUUAGGGAAGAACAUAUGUGUAAGUAACUGUGCACAUCUUGACGGUACCUAAUCAGAAAGCCACGGCUAACUACGUGCCAGCAGCCGCGGUAAUACGUAGGUGGCAAGCGUUAUCCGGAAUUAUUGGGCGUAAAGCGCGCGUAGGCGGUUUUUUAAGUCUGAUGUGAAAGCCCACGGCUCAACCGUGGAGGGUCAUUGGAAACUGGAAAACUUGAGUGCAGAAGAGGAAAGUGGAAUUCCAUGUGUAGCGGUGAAAUGCGCAGAGAUAUGGAGGAACACCAGUGGCGAAGGCGACUUUCUGGUCUGUAACUGACGCUGAUGUGCGAAAGCGUG